Molecule: ribosomal RNA, 432 nt
Filed under: uncultured bacterium
Lineage: Bacteria
Description: partial 16S ribosomal RNA
Rfam family: Bacterial small subunit ribosomal RNA
Source: RNAcentral
ACGAACGCUGGCGGCAUGCCUAACACAUGCCAGUCGCACGAAGCCUUCGGGCUUAGUGGCGCACGGGUGCGUAACGCGUGGGAAUCUGCCCCUUGCUUCGGAAUAACAGUUAGAAAUGACUGCUAAUACCGGAUGAAGUCUUCGGACCAAAGAUUUAUCGGCAAGGGAUGAGCCCGCGUAGGAUUAGGUAGUUGGUGGGGUAAAGGCCUACCAAGCCGACGAUCCUUAGCUGGUCUGAGAGGAUGAUCAGCCACACUGGGACUGAGACACGGCCCAGACUCCUACGGGAGGCAGCAGUGGGGAAUAUUGGACAAUGGACGCAAGUCUGAUCCAGCAAUGCCGCGUGAGUGAUGAAGGCCUUAGGGUUGUAAAGCUCUUUUACCAGGGAUGAUAAUGACAGUACCUGGAGAAUAAGCUCCGGCUAACUCCGUG